Molecule: ribosomal RNA, 254 nt
Filed under: uncultured microorganism
Description: partial 16S ribosomal RNA
Rfam family: Archaeal small subunit ribosomal RNA
Source: RNAcentral
CACCGGCGGCUCGAGUGGUGGCCACUUUUAUUGGGUCUAAAGCGUCCGUAGCCGGCUUGGCAAGUCCCCUGGGAAAUCUGGCGGCUUAACCGUCAGGCGUCCAGAGGAUACUGCCAGGCUUGGGACCGGGAGAGGUGAGAGGUACCUCAGGGGUAGGGGUGAAAUGUGUUGAUCCUUGGAGGACCACCUAUGGCGAAGGCACUUGUCUGGAACGGGUCCGACGGUGAGGGACGAAAGCCAGGGGCGCGAACCGG